GUAGGUGGCAAGCGUUGUCCGGAAUUAUUGGGCGUAAAGCGCGCGCAGGCGGGUUCUUUAAGUCUGAUGUGAAAGCCCACGGGCUCAACCGUGGAGGGUCAUUGGAAACUGGAGAACUUGAGUACAGAAGAGGAAAGCGGAAUUCCACGUGUAGCGGUGAAAUGCGUAGAGAUGUGGAGGAACACCAGUGGCGAAGGCGGCUUUCUGGUCUGUAACUGACGCUGAGGCGCGAAAGCGUGGGGAGCAAACAGGAUUAGAUACCCUGGUAGUCCACGCCGUAAACGAUGAGUGCUAAGUGUUAGGGGGUUUCCGCCCCUUAGUGCUGCGGCUAACGCAUUAAGCACUCCGCCUGGGGAGUACGACCGCAAGGUUG
This 373-nucleotide ribosomal RNA is filed under the name uncultured organism. Its description in RNAcentral is "partial 16S ribosomal RNA". It matches the Rfam family "Bacterial small subunit ribosomal RNA", at positions 527 to 896 of the family's 1533-position model. The record is from RNAcentral.